This is a long non-coding RNA of Etheostoma spectabile (orangethroat darter), 177 nucleotides long. RefSeq lists it as uncharacterized. The transcript is spliced from 3 exons. Lineage: Eukaryota; Metazoa; Chordata; Actinopteri; Perciformes; Percidae. The record is from RefSeq and is a predicted model, not a curated record.
UUGGGCUUAGUUGUGGUAUUUUUAGUUUUUCUAUUCCAAAGGCACUAAAACAAAGAAAGCUAACUAGGACUUGUUGACCCGGGUGACCCAGACAGCACCUUCUACAGUCCUUUAACUUUGCCCUGAACUUCAUACAAGCAUUAGAAAUGUAGUAAGAUCAGAGAUGUAAACAUGUUA